Molecule: transfer RNA, 76 nt
Filed under: Pararhodospirillum photometricum DSM 122
Lineage: Bacteria; Pseudomonadati; Pseudomonadota; Alphaproteobacteria; Rhodospirillales; Rhodospirillaceae
Description: tRNA-Glu
Source: RNAcentral
GUCGCGCGACACCAGCCGUUGGAGGUCGGCUGCCAGAUCGGCCAGCAUGGCGCGAUAGCCGCCGAUGCCCCGGGCC